ACUCAAAGGAAUUGACGGGGGCCUGCACAAGCGGUGGAGUAUGUGGCUUAAUUCGAUGCAACGCGAAGAACCUUACCUGGCCUUGACAUGUAGGUAGUAGAAGCUUGAAAGAGUGACGAGGUAGCAAUACCAGCUUACACAGGUGCUGCAUGGCUGUCGUCAGCUCGUGUCGUGAGAUGUUGGGUUAAGUCCCGCAACGAGCGCAACCCUUGUGUCCUGUUGCCACCUUUACGAGAGUAAAGAGCACUCUGGACAGACUGCCUCGCUUAAACGAGGAGGAAGGUGGGGAUGACGUCAAGUCAGUAUGGCCCUUACGGCCAGGGCUGCACACGUACUACAAUGCCCGGUACAAAGGGAAGCAAGACUGUAAAGUGGCGCAAAUCUCAAAAAACCGGGCCCAGUUCAGAUUGUCGGCUGCAACUCGCCGACAUGAAGUUGGAAUCGCUAGUAAUGGCGCAUCAGCUACGGCGCCGUGAAUACGUUCCCAGGCCUUGUACACACCGCCCGU
RNAcentral lists this ribosomal RNA (508 nucleotides) under uncultured bacterium. RNAcentral describes it as "partial 16S ribosomal RNA". It matches the Rfam family "Bacterial small subunit ribosomal RNA", at positions 899 to 1397 of the family's 1533-position model. The record is from RNAcentral.